Molecule: transfer RNA, 82 nt
Filed under: Fusarium musae
Lineage: Eukaryota; Fungi; Ascomycota; Sordariomycetes; Hypocreales; Nectriaceae
Rfam family: tRNA
About the family: Transfer RNA (tRNA) molecules are approximately 80 nucleotides in length. Their secondary structure includes four short double-helical elements and three loops (D, anti-codon, and T loops). Further hydrogen bonds mediate the characteristic L-shaped molecular structure. tRNAs have two regions of fundamental functional importance: the anti-codon, which is responsible for specific mRNA codon recognition, and the 3' end, to which the tRNAs corresponding amino acid is attached (by aminoacyl-tRNA synthetases). tRNAs cope with the degeneracy of the genetic code in two manners: having more than one tRNA (with a specific anti-codon) for a particular amino acid; and 'wobble' base-pairing, i.e. permitting non-standard base-pairing at the 3rd anti-codon position.
Source: Rfam by way of RNAcentral
GCGUAAUUGGUUUAGUGGUAAAAUUCUUCGUUGCCAUUCGAGCAGCGUCGGGGAGCCCAGGGUUCGAUUCCCUGAUUACGCA